CAGAUUGAUAGAUUUCCCCCUAACAUUUAAUUUGACAUACAGAUAGAUUUUCCCAGGUUUCUCUAAACAUUUACAUUAACAGACUGAUAUAUUACCCUAAACAUGUGCAUAGACAGACAGACAGAUUACCCUAACUAUUUAAACUGACAGAAAGAAAAUUUUCCCCUACAUUUUUACUGACAGACAGACAGACAAACUUACCCAUUUAUUUAAAUAUAUUGACAGGCAAGUUGUCAGACAGAUUACCCCAAAUAUUUAAAAAGAUAAAGAGAC
Molecule: non-coding RNA, 273 nt
Organism: Pelobates cultripes (western spadefoot toad)
Lineage: Eukaryota; Metazoa; Chordata; Amphibia; Anura; Pelobatidae
Source: the annotation of a GenBank genome assembly